Long non-coding RNA from Mustela lutreola (European mink), 1005 nucleotides. RefSeq lists it as uncharacterized. Lineage: Eukaryota; Metazoa; Chordata; Mammalia; Carnivora; Mustelidae. The transcript has 4 exons. The record is from RefSeq and is a predicted model, not a curated record.
ACUAUUCUACAUCUGUGUCUGUUACUGGAAAACCGCCUUCACGAGAAACCCAAGUUAAGGGAAUGACCGUCAACGCUUUCCUGCAGAUUGAUGGAGAUACCACUCACUGGGCCCUUCUCACUCCACUUUGUCAGAUGUGUGGCAUGGCCUGUGUUCUUGCUGGGAGUAAUGGCAAUCUCCUCGCACACCUGGUUGUUGGCAUGGGAGUCAUUGUCUAGCAGCAGAGGAAAUUCCAAACUUCCUUUUCCUGAGCAGCUUUGUUUUCUGUAUUUAAUGAAUGCCAAACAUCAACCAUGUCUGCAAAUUUCCUCUUUGGUGUAGAGAGCAAGAAACUUGAAUUUAUGGUCUUCCUUGCAAUUAGAAGUGACAAAAGAGACACCAUCCUCACCAAAGAGACAAAGUAAAUAAAGUUCUGCUGAGAAGGUAAAGCAAAGUAGUUAGGGUUUGGACAAUUGUUUGUUUAAACCCCGCCCCCAUAACUUCCUAAAAAGAAGAUGGUCAUGUCCAUGCAAGAAGUGGCCGCCAUCUUGCAAGCUCCAAGCACCAACAAGACUGAUGCCAAAGAAUUGAGAGGUGUAUGGAAGGAGAGAACGAAUGGGACCCCAACCAUGUGAGCACUGAAGUUUCUGUUCUUUGCGGCAGAAAGCAUUCCUAAGUGACAUAUAUUUUAAUUAAAAUCUGGGAAAUUUUGUGAUUGCGUUUAUGUCAACGUAUACAAAACAUGAUGAAUCUUCGAAUGAAAAAUCCAAAAAGUGAGAAAACACAUUUUGAAACUUUUAAAAGAUUUAAAUGUCUUCAUUUUGGAGAAGACCGUAUUUUGCAGAUAAAAUGAAAAGAUCUAUAGACUGCCACAUAAAAUUUUGAUUAUGGAGAACCAGAGUGGGGAAUGUUAUUAAAAUUGAGACUCUCCUAGAAAAUCCUAGAAAAUUGUCUGUUGAGUUUAUAUCUUUAAGCCACUUUUUUAAAGCACUUUUAUUUUACUUUAAUCAGAGAAUUUAAUUUUAC